RNAcentral lists this transfer RNA (70 nucleotides) under Atlapetes schistaceus taczanowskii. RNAcentral's name for it is "tRNA-Lys". The record is from RNAcentral. Lineage: Eukaryota; Metazoa; Chordata; Aves; Passeriformes; Passerellidae.
AUUAAGAAGCUAUGAACCAGCAUUAGCCUUUUAAGCUAAAGAAAGAGGGAACCCCCCCUCCUUAAUGAUA